RNAcentral lists this small RNA (125 nucleotides) under Marmota monax (woodchuck). The record is from RNAcentral. Lineage: Eukaryota; Metazoa; Chordata; Mammalia; Rodentia; Sciuridae.
GCCAGGCACGGUGGCGCACACCUGUAAUCCCAGCAGCUCGGGAGGCUGAGACAGGAGGAUGGCAAGUUCAAGGCCAGCCUCAGCAAUGACCAGGUGCUAAGCAACUCAGUGAGACCCUGUCUCUA